GGGGGCGAUACGGCUUCGACGGGGGUGAUGGGGUCGCGGGAGGCAUGCCGAGCACCAUCGACUCGAUAAUCCGAUGGAAAACCCAGUAACUGCGGACACGCAGCUUGCUCUCGCUGCCUAAUUAGGCGGUGCGUCCACCUCGUUCUCGCCCACGGGGCGGGGCUGGGCGUCAUUCAGUGGGCUGGUCACCGCGCGCCGCACCGACACGCGAUGACGAGACGAAUCGGGGCUGGCUUCCAGGCGGUUUCCGCCGUUCUUCGACGCCCGGAAGCGAGACUUUCAAGAGCGGCUACGCAUGUAGAAUCCUGCUGCGCCGUACUCUCGGACGCGGGUUCGACUCCCGCCGCCUCCACCA
RNAcentral lists this transfer-messenger RNA (355 nucleotides) under Acidobacteriota bacterium. Its description in RNAcentral is "Acidobacteria bacterium (sponge metagenome) transfer-messenger RNA". It matches the Rfam family "transfer-messenger RNA". Rfam says of the family: Bacterial tmRNA, also known as 10Sa RNA or SsrA, is named for its dual tRNA and mRNA-like properties. Its role is to liberate the mRNA from a stalled ribosome. The record is from RNAcentral. RNAcentral also lists the same sequence under 1 other name. Lineage: Bacteria; Pseudomonadati; Acidobacteriota.